GCCUAACGGCUGAACUGGCAACUUGGAGAAGUGGCAAGUCUUCCAGUAUGGGGAGCAAAACAGCUAUGGGUCAAGUCCGAUAUCUUUAGGAGAAGUCUUAUUGUGAGGGCGAGUUAUAUAACACCAUAGGACUGGCCGUCCCAUAUGAAAAGAUUAUAUUAGAAUUGAAUGAAGCUUUGUUUAUAUAUUGAUAAUGACAGUAUAUAUAUCGUGUCUUGACUAAUUGCGUGCCAGCAGUCGCGGUAAUACGUAAGAGACUAGUGUUAUUCAUCUUAAUUAGGUUUAAAGGGUACCCAGACGGUCAAUAUAGCUUAUAAAAUGUUAGUACUUGACUAGAGUUUUAUGUAAGAGGGCAGUACUUGAGGAGGAGAGAUGAAAUUUCGUGAUACCAAAGGGACUCUGUAAAGGCGAAGGCAGCCCUCUAUGUAAAAACUGACGUUGAAGGACGAAGGCACAGAGAACAAACAGGAUUAGAUACCCAAGUAGUCUUUGCAGUAAAUGAUGAAUGCCAUAGGUUAGAUUGAUCAAUUAUAGUCUAGGGUUAGUCUAGCAAACUAAUGCCCUAUGAUAUAAUUCAAAAUAUCUGGUCUAUAAAUGAAAGUGUAAGCAUUUCACCUCAAGAGUAAUGUGGCAACGCAGGAACUGAAAUCACUAGACCGUUUCUGACACCAGUAGUGAAG
This 680-nucleotide ribosomal RNA is filed under the name Fusarium oxysporum. RNAcentral's name for it is "SSU rRNA". It matches the Rfam family "Bacterial small subunit ribosomal RNA", at positions 291 to 937 of the family's 1533-position model. Lineage: Eukaryota; Fungi; Ascomycota; Sordariomycetes; Hypocreales; Nectriaceae. RNAcentral also lists the same sequence under 5 other names. The record is from RNAcentral.